RNAcentral lists this ribosomal RNA (363 nucleotides) under Escherichia coli. RNAcentral's name for it is "partial 23S ribosomal RNA". It matches the Rfam family "Bacterial large subunit ribosomal RNA", at positions 833 to 1194 of the family's 2925-position model. The record is from RNAcentral. Lineage: Bacteria; Pseudomonadati; Pseudomonadota; Gammaproteobacteria; Enterobacterales; Enterobacteriaceae.
UCAAACCGGGAGAUAGCUGGUUCUCCCCGAAAGCUAUUUAGGUAGCGCCUCGUGAAUUCAUCUCCGGGGGUAGAGCACUGUUUCGGCAAGGGGGUCAUCCCGACUUACCAACCCGAUGCAAACUGCGAAUACCGGAGAAUGUUAUCACGGGAGACACACGGCGGGUGCUAACGUCCGUCGUGAAGAGGGAAACAACCCAGACCGCCAGCUAAGGUCCCAAAGUCAUGGUUAAGUGGGAAACGAUGUGGGAAGGCCCAGACAGCCAGGAUGUUGGCUUAGAAGCAGCCAUCAUUUAAAGAAAGCGUAAUAGCUCACUGGUCGAGUCGGCCUGCGCGGAAGAUGUAACGGGGCUAAACCAUGCAC